GUGUCAGCAGCCGCGGUAAUACGAAGGGAGCUAGCGUUGUUCGGAAUCACUGGGCGUAAAGCGCACGUAGGCGGAUUUGCCAGUCAGGGGUGAAAUCCCGGGGCUCAACCUCGGAACUGCCUUUGAUACAGCAAGUCUUGAGUUCGAGAGAGGUGGGUGGAAUUCCUAGUGUAGAGGUGAAAUUCGUAGAUAUUAGGAAGAACACCGGUGGCGAAGGCGGCCCACUGGCUCGACACUGACGCUGAGGUGCGAAAGCGUGGGGAGCAAACAGGAUUAGAAACCCGCGUAGUCC
Molecule: ribosomal RNA, 292 nt
Filed under: uncultured bacterium
Lineage: Bacteria
Description: partial 16S ribosomal RNA
Rfam family: Bacterial small subunit ribosomal RNA
Source: RNAcentral